Molecule: ribosomal RNA, 484 nt
Filed under: uncultured eukaryote
Lineage: Eukaryota
Description: partial 18S ribosomal RNA
Rfam family: Eukaryotic small subunit ribosomal RNA
Source: RNAcentral
AUGAACUAAUUCAGACUGUGAAACUGCGAAUGGCUCAUUAAAUCAKUUAUAGUUUGUUUGAUGGUAUUUGCUACUCGGAUAACCGUADUAAUUCUAGAGCUAAUACSUGCAACAAACCCCGACUUCUGGAARGGAUGCAUUUAUUAUAUAAAAGGUCSACGCGGGCUCUGCUCSUCUCUUCSAUGAUUCAUGAUAACUCSACSGAUCGCACGGCCCUCKUGCCGGCGACKCAUCAUUCAAAUUUCUGCCCUAUCAACUUUCSAUGGUAGGAUAGUGGCCUACUACGGUGGUGACSGGUGACGGAAAAUUARGGUUCGAUUCCSGAAAGGGAGCCUGAAAAACGGCUACCACAUCCAAGGAAGGSAGCAGGSGCGCAAAUUACCCAAUCCUGACACGGGGAGGUAGUGACAAUAAAUAACAAUACCGGGCUCUUUGARUCUGGUAAUUGGAAUGAGUACAAUCUAAAUCCCUUAACGAGGAUCCA